Molecule: ribosomal RNA, 1260 nt
Filed under: Bacillus sp. (in: firmicutes)
Lineage: Bacteria; Bacillati; Bacillota; Bacilli; Caryophanales; Bacillaceae
Description: bacterial SSU rRNA
Rfam family: Bacterial small subunit ribosomal RNA
Source: RNAcentral
GUGCAGUGCGGGUGCUAUACAUGCAGUCGAGCGGACAGAUGGGAGCUUGCUCCCUGAUGUUAGCGGCGGACGGGUGAGUAACACGUGGGUAACCUGCCUGUAAGACUGGGAUAACUCCGGGAAACCGGGGCUAAUACCGGAUGCUUGUUUGAACCGCAUGGUUCAAACAUAAAAGGUGGCUUCGGCUACCACUUACAGAUGGACCCGCGGCGCAUUAGCUAGUUGGUGAGGUAAUGGCUCACCAAGGCGACGAUGCGUAGCCGACCUGAGAGGGUGAUCGGCCACACUGGGACUGAGACACGGCCCAGACUCCUACGGGAGGCAGCAGUAGGGAAUCUUCCGCAAUGGACGAAAGUCUGACGGAGCAACGCCGCGUGAGUGAUGAAGGUUUUCGGAUCGUAAAGCUCUGUUGUUAGGGAAGAACAAGUACCGUUCGAAUAGGGCGGUACCUUGACGGUACCUAACCAGAAAGCCACGGCUAACUACGUGCCAGCAGCCGCGGUAAUACGUAGGUGGCAAGCGUUGUCCGGAAUUAUUGGGCGUAAAGGGCUCGCAGGCGGUUUCUUAAGUCUGAUGUGAAAGCCCCCGGCUCAACCGGGGAGGGUCAUUGGAAACUGGGGAACUUGAGUGCAGAAGAGGAGAGUGGAAUUCCACGUGUAGCGGUGAAAUGCGUAGAGAUGUGGAGGAACACCAGUGGCGAAGGCGACUCUCUGGUCUGUAACUGACGCUGAGGAGCGAAAGCGUGGGGAGCGAACAGGAUUAGAUACCCUGGUAGUCCACGCCGUAAACGAUGAGUGCUAAGUGUUAGGGGGUUUCCGCCCCUUAGUGCUGCAGCUAACGCAUUAAGCACUCCGCCUGGGGAGUACGGUCGCAAGACUGAAACUCAAAGGAAUUGACGGGGGCCCGCACAAGCGGUGGAGCAUGUGGUUUAAUUCGAAGCAACGCGAAGAACCUUACCAGGUCUUGACAUCCUCUGACAAUCCUAGAGAUAGGACGUCCCCUUCGGGGGCAAAGUGACAGGUGGUGCAUGGUUGUCGUCAGCUCCUGUCCUGAAAUGUUGGGUUAAGUCCCGCAACGAGCGCAACCCUUGAUCUUAGUUGCCAGCAUUCAGUUGGGCACUCUAAGGUGACUGCCGGUGACAAACCGGAGGAAGGUGGGGAUGACGUCAAAUCAUCAGGCCCCUUAUGACCGGGGCUAACACUGGGUACAAUGGCACGAAACAAAGGGGCCCAAAACCCCCGGGGUUAAUCCAAUCCCCCA